RNAcentral lists this unclassified non-coding RNA (387 nucleotides) under soil metagenome. RNAcentral's name for it is "partial contains 5.8S ribosomal RNA, internal transcribed spacer 2, and large subunit ribosomal RNA". The stretch from base 1 to 120 matches the Rfam family "5.8S ribosomal RNA", at positions 35 to 154 of the family's 154-position model. The record is from RNAcentral.
GAUGAAGAACGCAGCGAAAUGCGAUAAGUAAUGUGAAUUGCAGAAUUCAGUGAAUCAUCGAAUCUUUGAACGCACCUUGCGCUCCUUGGUAUUCCGGGGAGCAUGCCUGUUUGAGUGUCAUGAAAUUCUCAACCUUUUCAGCUUUCUUUGUUGAUCAGGCUUGGAUGUGGGAGUAUGCGGGCUUCUCAGAAGUCGGCUCUCCUGAAAUGCAUUAGCGGGACCUUUGUUGCCUGGCUUUGGUGUGAUAAUUAUCUACGCCAUUGUAGUCAAGCAGCUUAAAAUGAGGUUUCAGCUUCUAACCGUCUCCCCUGAGACAACUUUUUGACAAUUUGACCUCAAAUCAGGUAGGACUACCCGCUGAACUUAAGCAUAUCAAUAAGCGGAGGA